Long non-coding RNA from Ictidomys tridecemlineatus (thirteen-lined ground squirrel), 1706 nucleotides. RefSeq lists it as uncharacterized. Lineage: Eukaryota; Metazoa; Chordata; Mammalia; Rodentia; Sciuridae. The record is from RefSeq and is a predicted model, not a curated record.
AGCUUUUUAAGGUUGUCUGAUGAUAAUCUUAAUUCUGUCUCCAAUCUUACUUCCCCCUUGUCUCACAGGGUAGCAGAUUCACAGGUUCUUGGGACUUAGAUGUGGUCAUCUUUGGAGAGCCAUCCUGCUGCACGCUCCGAUGUUCAAGUCUGAUUUAACUCACCCCUGCACUCUCUUGAAGUGGACCUGGAUUGAGAGCUCGGUUCUGAGACUUACCAGUUGCAUGGAGAAUGGCAACGAUCAUGGUGACCUACUCUGAGAGCAUGAGUCCAGAUGUGUUUUGUUUACAUCAAUGUCAAAUAACACAGUGACACUUCUUCAGAGAAAUGAAUGGGUGUUCAUACCACCUGAGAGCAUUGAGGGCAACAGACAUUCUUGUCUACUGCAGAAUCACACCAAAUCUUGAACUCGGGCAGUUAAAAAUCUUCUGAUCUGGUUCUCCAUCCCAUAACAUUUAUGGAAGGUGCAGCCCGUGCAUUCUUGGCUGGAAGGUGAGACAUAGACGGUGUUGGAUGAUUCCCGGUGCAGUACAUCUGGAGGCUCCUGAUGUCCACCUGUCUGUCACUGGUGACAGUACACACCCCCAGGCCUUCACCCAGCGUGGAGAUGGAGUGGAGGACGGGUGGAAGAGCAUUGGAGGGACAGGAAGACGGAACUGGCAGCAGUGCAAACCCAGAAUGAGGACCCGAAGCCUGCUGUGAGGGUGUGCUACCAAGUACACGACAAACACACACACACACACACACACACACACACACAAACACCCCCUGCAACACACAUACCCGCCCCCCACAUGCACAUACCACACACAGCACACAGGCUCAGAUCCUCUUUGUAGUUUUCAGUUCUCAACGAGGUCCUGUUUUAGCACAGAGGCAGGUCAUUGCAAGAAAUAUUUGGGAGAGAUUUUUCAAAUUUCUGCAUUUGAACUUUGCAUGUGCUCCCUCCCCGCUUUUUGACUUGUUGGGUUUUCCAGCCUUUGCAGCUAUGAUUAGGAGGUCUGAUUGCCACCGUGUGCCUUGGCAUAAAGCGGUGGCGUUUGGCCCUGGCAGGUUUUUAAUUCUCCAGGGUGUUUGAAAUACCCAGCGCUGCGCAGACCCCACCUGGGACCCACUGAACUGGGACUCUGAGGCAGGAGGAGCUGGAAGAGCCCAGGGGUACCUGCUGCGUACUGUGUGACGACCGUGGACUCCAUCUCCGCUCUCUGGCUAAGUUCCGUGGCUGGCUGACACGCACUGAGCACUUGCUGGGGCAGGCCAUGUGUCACAGGCAUCUGAGGGCUUUGUCUUUGCAGCCUCCAUUUUCCCUUUGGGUAAAAGCUUCCUGAUUCCUCUUGGGCUGCCACCACCCCCACUUUCAGCUCAUGUGGUUUUGGGGACACGGACCUGUGACCUUGACUUUAGGAGUAGACAUGGAUCUCAGUCUUGGCAAAUUGAUCAACUUGUACCCAGGACUUUCACUGAGAUGAUUGGCAAAAUGAUGCUCUCUCUCAUUUGGAGCUUCAAACUGAGAGGAUGUAAAUGUAAAAUUGCCAGGGGCUACUGCAGAGAAGGUACCAUCCCAAGGGUGAAACCAACAAAGAAGACAGCAGGAAAAGAGAUGAACCCUGGGGGGUAUGGUUUGAGUCCCUAGAUCCAUCCAUGCCUGAAGCUAUCUCUCCUGUAUCUCUAAAUUAUAAGUCAAUAAAUUCCUAUUUACUCAAGUCA